This 509-nucleotide ribosomal RNA is filed under the name uncultured bacterium. Its description in RNAcentral is "partial 16S ribosomal RNA". The stretch from base 20 to 327 matches the Rfam family "Bacterial small subunit ribosomal RNA", at positions 47 to 358 of the family's 1533-position model. The record is from RNAcentral.
GACGAACGCUGGCGGCGUGCUUAACACAUGCGAGUCGAACGGAAAGGCCCUGCUUUUGUGGGGUGCUCGAGUGGCGAACGGGUGAGUAACACGUGAGUAACCUGCCCUUGACUUUGGGAUAACUUCAGGAAACUGGGGCUAAUACCGGAUAGGAGCUCCUGCUGCAUGGUGGGGGUUGGAAAGUUUCGGCGGUUGGGGAUGGACUCGCGGCUUAUCAGCUUGUUGGUGGGGUAGUGGCUUACCAAGGCUUUGACGGGUAGCCGGCCUGAGAGGGUGACCGGGGUGUGUGAGAGUGAAGCGCGGACAAGCGAGCGAGGGGGGUGAGGGGGGGAGCAUAGUAGACGCGGGGCGGAAGCGCGAGGCAGCUGCGGCGGGUGGGGGUGGGCCGGCUUGGGUGUGUGCCUCGUUUGCUGCGGUGAAGAGGUGUGAGUGAUGGAGAUGGGCAAAGAAGCACGGGCCAACGACGUGACAGCGGGCGGGGUUAGUCGAGGAGGAGCACACGUCUAACC